RNAcentral lists this ribosomal RNA (497 nucleotides) under uncultured bacterium. RNAcentral's name for it is "partial 16S ribosomal RNA". It matches the Rfam family "Bacterial small subunit ribosomal RNA", at positions 28 to 507 of the family's 1533-position model. The record is from RNAcentral.
GAUGAACGCUGGCGGCGUGCCUAAUACAUGCAAGUCGAGCGAACGGACGAGAAGCUUGCUUCUCUGAUUUUAGCGGCGGACGGGUGCGUAACACGUGGAUAACCUACCUAUAAGACUGGGAUAACUUCGGGAAACCGGAGCUAAUACCGGAUAAUAUUUUGAACCGCAUGGUUCAAAAGUGAAAGACGGUCUUGCUGUCACUUAUAGAUGGAUCCGCGCUGCAUUAGCUAGUUGUUAAGGUAACGGCUUACCAAGGCAACGAUGCAUAGCCGACCUGAGAGGGUGACCGACCACCCUGGAACUGAGACACGGUCCAGACUCCUACGAGAGGCAGCAGUAGGGAAUCUUCCGCAAUGGGCGAAAGCCUGACGGAGCAACGCCGCGUGAGUGAUGAAGGUCUUCGGAUCGUAAAACUCUGUUAUUAGGGAAGAACAUAUGUGUAAGUAACUGUGCACAUCUUGAGGGUACCUAAUCAGAAAGCCACGGCUAACUACGUG